RNAcentral lists this ribosomal RNA (391 nucleotides) under uncultured bacterium. RNAcentral describes it as "bacterial SSU rRNA". It matches the Rfam family "Bacterial small subunit ribosomal RNA", at positions 28 to 419 of the family's 1533-position model. The record is from RNAcentral.
GACGAACGCUGGCGGCGUGCUUAACACAUGCAAGUCGUGCGGAAAGGCCCCUUUGGGGGUGCUCGAGCGGCGAACGGGUGAGUAACACGUGAGUAAUCUGCCCUGCACUUUGGGAUAACUGCCGGAAACGGUGGCUAAUACUGGAUAGGACUGCAUCCUGCAUGGGGUGUGGUGGAAAGCCUUUGGGUGGUGUGGGAUGUGCUCGCGGCCUAUCAGCUUGAUGGUGGGGUAGUGGCCUACCAUGGCUUUGACGGGUAGCCGGCCUGAGAGGGUGACCGGUCACACUGGGACUGAGACACGGCCCAGACUCCUGCGGGAGGCAGCAGUGGGGAAUAUUGGACAAUGGGCGGAAGCCUGAUCCAGCAACGCCGCGUGAGGGAUGACGGCUCGG